UACGGGGGGGGCAAGCGUUGUUCGGAAUUACUGGGCGUAAAGGGCUCGUAGGCGGCCAACUAAGUCAGACGUGAAAUCCCUCGGCUUAACCGGGGAACUGCGUCUGAUACUGGAUGGCUCGAGUUUGGGAGAGGGAUGCGGAAUUCCAGGUGUAGCGGUGAAAUGCGUAGAGAUCCGGAGGAACCCCAGAGGCGAAGGCGGCAGCCUGGUUGGCUCCUGACGCUCGGACACGACAGCAUGGGGAGCGAACGGG
RNAcentral lists this ribosomal RNA (253 nucleotides) under uncultured bacterium. RNAcentral describes it as "partial 16S ribosomal RNA". It matches the Rfam family "Bacterial small subunit ribosomal RNA", at positions 524 to 776 of the family's 1533-position model. The record is from RNAcentral.